GACAGUAGGAAUCAGUGAGACGGUCAAAUGAAAGGAGACAAAGCGUCGAGGCGCAGCAGCAGAGAAAGGAGCCGAAACAGGAGGAAGGUUUGUUACUCGGCGGCGUUCCUCUUCCCACAGCCAGGCUGAGAAAUCUGAGGGAACCUGACAGUCUUUCCGUUUCAGUUUCCCCUCAUCGGCUUUCAGCUGACAGGAGUCACCAAAGCAGCAGGAGGGGAACCUCAUCAUGCCGCUGCAGCAUCAAAACAAAGAUACACGCCACGACUUCAUCUCCUUAUGUCAGCCUGGAUUUUAUAAAUGUCACAAGAUCCAGUUGGAAAGGUUCUGAACCGUUUGGAAUGAUGAAGGCGAAAAUAAAAAAACAACAACUUAAA
Molecule: long non-coding RNA, 374 nt
Organism: Poecilia reticulata (guppy)
Lineage: Eukaryota; Metazoa; Chordata; Actinopteri; Cyprinodontiformes; Poeciliidae
Source: RefSeq, a predicted model, not a curated record